AUCCAACCCGCCACAUAAAAUCUAAUUGUCGCCGUCUUCGAUUCCAAAUUCGAAACUUCUUUGAAAUCUCAAAUCUUUGUCUUUCUCACUUCUCUAACUCUUAAUCGCUCUCAUCCCUUCUUUGUUCUUGCGGUGCCCAUCUCUGUGCACCCACAAACAAUACCCACUUAGGCUUCCCUAAUCUUCACAGUUUCUGAAAAUGGAGGCAAAAAAGCAGCCGCUGAUUAUUACAGACAAAGACCGGAUGAGGAAUUGGUCUAGGUCAGUGAGAUCCCAGGGCAAGACCAUAGCCCUUGUACCCACUAUGGGUUACCUCCACCAAGGUCACAUAUCACUCGUCAAAGAAGCUCACAAACACGCCAAUUUAAUAGUAGUGUCAAUCUAUGUGAAUCCAGGUCAGUUCUCUCCCUCUGAGGAUCUCUCCACAUACCCAUCUGACUUUCAUGGUGAUAUCCUCAAGCUCAUGUCCAUGUCCAUUCCUGGUGGUGUAGAUGUUGUUUUCCAUCCCCAUAAUCUCUAUGACUAUAGAACUGAUAAUAAAAACAAGAAUGACAUUGUUAAUUGUACUGAUAGUAGGGAUGAUUGCAAGAAUUUAAAGGUUGAAGGGGUGGUGUCGUGUGUGGAAGAGAAGGGGACGGGACAUGAGACAUGGGUGAGAGUGGAGAGACUUGAGAAGGGUUUGUGUGGGAACAGUAGGCCGGUGUUCUUUAGAGGGGUUGCUACUAUUGUCACCAAGUUGUUUAAUAUAGUGGAGCCUGACUUUGCUGUGUUUGGGAAGAAGGAUUACCAGCAGUGGAGAAUUAUUCAGCGAAUGGUUCGAGAUCUUGAUUUUUCCAUAAGAAUAAUAGGUUCUGAAGUAAUGCGCGACAGUGAUGGUCUUGCAAUGAGUUCCCGCAAUGUGCACCUUUCUCCUGAAGAGAGGGAAAAGGCCUUGUCUAUGAACAGGUCAUUGUUGAAAGCUAAAUCAUGUGCAGAAAAAGGCCAAAUAAAUUGUAUAGAGCUAAGAGACUUGGUCAUCCAAGCAAUAAAUGAAGCUGGAGGGAAAAUUGAUUAUGCUGAGAUUGUAGACCAGGAAACCUUGGAGGCUGCAGAA
RNAcentral lists this unclassified non-coding RNA (1093 nucleotides) under Hevea brasiliensis (rubber tree). The record is from RNAcentral. Lineage: Eukaryota; Viridiplantae; Streptophyta; Magnoliopsida; Malpighiales; Euphorbiaceae.